This 1449-nucleotide ribosomal RNA is filed under the name uncultured organism. RNAcentral's name for it is "SSU rRNA". It matches the Rfam family "Bacterial small subunit ribosomal RNA". The record is from RNAcentral.
ACGCUGGCGGCGUGCUUAACACAUGCAAGUCGAACGAAGAUAUUUAAAAUGAGAGCUUCGGCAGGAUUUUUAUCUAUCUUAGUGGCGGACGGGUGAGUAACGUGUGGGCAACCUGCCCUGUACUGGGGAAUAAUCAUUGGAAACGAUGACUAAUACCGCAUGUGGUCCUCGGAAGGCAUCUUCUGAGGAAGAAAGGAUUUAUUCGGUACAGGAUGGGCCCGCAUCUGAUUAGCUAGUUGGUGAGAUAACAGCCCACCAAGGCGACGAUCAGUAGCCGACCGGAGAGGGUGAUCGGCCACAUUGGGACUGAGACACGGCCCAAACUCCUACGGGAGGCAGCAGUGGGGAAUAUUGCACAAUGGGCGAAAGCCUGAUGCAGCAACGCCGCGUGAAGGAUGAAGGGUUUCGGCUCGUAAACUUCUAUCAAUAGGGAAGAAAGAAAUGACGGUACCUAAAUAAGAAGCCCCGGCUAACUACGUGCCAGCAGCCGGCGGUAAUACGUAGGGGGCAAGCGUUAUCCGGAAUUACUGGGUGUAAAGGGAGCGUAGGCCGGCUGGUAAGCCAGAUGUGAAAGCCUUGGGCUUAACCCGAGGAUUGCAUUUGGAACUAUCAAGCUAGAGUACAGGAGAGGAAAGCGGAAUUCCUAGUGUAGCGGUGAAAUGCGUAGAUAUUAGGAAGAACACCAGUGGCGAAGGCGGCUUUCUGGACUGAAACUGACGCUGAGGCUCGAAAGCGUGGGGAGCAAACAGGAUUAGAUACCCUGGUAGUCCACGCCGUAAACGAUGAGUGCUAGGUGUCGGGGAGGAAUCCUCGGUGCCGCAGCUAACGCAAUAAGCACUCCACCUGGGGAGUACGACCACAAGGUUGAAACUCAAAGGAAUUGACGGGGGCCCGCACAAGCGGUGGAGCAUGUGGCUUAAUUCGAAGCAACGCGAAGAACCUUACCAAGGCUUGACAUCCCGAUGACCGUCCUAGAGAUAGGACUUCUCUUCGGAGCAUCGGUGACAGGUGGUGCAUGGUUGUCGUCAGCUCGUGUCGUGAGAUGUUGGGUUAAGUCCCGCAACGAGCGCAACCCUUAUCUUCAGUAGCCAUCAUUCAGUUGGGCACUCUGGAGAGACUGCCGUGGAUAACACGGAGGAAGGUGGGGAUGACGUCAAAUCAUCAUGCCCCUUAUGUCUUGGGCUACACACGUGCUACAAUGGCUGGUAACAAAGUGACGCAAAACGGCGACGUUAAGCAAAUCACAAAAACCCAGUCCCAGUUCGGAUUGUAGUCUGCAACUCGACUACAUGAAGCUGGAAUCGCUAGUAAUCGCGAAUCAGCAUGUCGCGGUGAAUACGUUCCCGGGCCUUGUACACACCGCCCGUCACACCAUGGGAGUUGGAAGCACCCGAAGUCGGUGACCUAACCGUAAGGAAGGAGCCGCCGAAGGUGAAGCCAGUGACUGGG